This 59-nucleotide transfer RNA is filed under the name Vermiviatum covidum. Its description in RNAcentral is "tRNA-Gln". Lineage: Eukaryota; Metazoa; Platyhelminthes; Tricladida; Geoplanidae. The record is from RNAcentral.
UUUUUGAUUGUGUAUGCAUGUAAAAUUUUGAAUUUUAAGGAGUAAUUAUAUUUAUAGAA